Molecule: long non-coding RNA, 211 nt
Filed under: Mytilus galloprovincialis (Mediterranean mussel)
Lineage: Eukaryota; Metazoa; Mollusca; Bivalvia; Mytilida; Mytilidae
Source: RNAcentral
AACAUUAAGCGCCUUUAUUCAAACAUGUGGAAUGAUGAUGUACAACAAGUGUCAACACUUCGAACUUGUAUAACUUUCAAAUCUUUAUUUACAGUAUGUAAAACUCAAUUUAACUAAGCCGAACGCUCGCAUUUAACACAAUUCAGAUGUUACCUCUGAGAAUAGAAACAGGACGAUAUAUAGGUGAAAGACUAGAAGAAAGUCUUUGCAC